CGGAUGUGUGCUAUGUGCCUUAAGGUGACAGGGAACCUUAUCCAGACCACUGAUAGUAAAAGAAAACAUGUACAAUUCUUCUUGGUGAGCAACAGCGAGGGAUGUAUUGGAGUAUUCAGAGAAUGGUUAAGUUAACUAUGGGCAAUACAACAACAAUAUUGAUCUCUGUAUAUGCAUAUGUAUGGGAACUAAGUUUGCUUUGUGGGUGCAAAUCCAGGUCCAAAAUUUUUUCAAACAAGAAUUGCUGCUUGAAAUAUGAAAAAGGACAUUAGUCUAAAAUUACGAUGACGAUAUAUUGCCGAUGCUAGUUGUUGUGCUACUGAUGAUAACAUUGUUGUAUUACUAUUUUAGGCAAAAAUUAAGCACAAUGUUGAGAAAUACACUAAAUUUAAUUUUUUGUAUGUUCAUUUUCAUUAGUAUCUGUAAAAUUAAUGAAUAAAACAAAUGAACCAAA
Octopus bimaculoides (California two-spot octopus) is the source of this 454-nucleotide long non-coding RNA. NCBI's taxonomy places the organism in Eukaryota, Metazoa, Mollusca, Cephalopoda, Octopoda, Octopodidae. The record is from RefSeq and is a predicted model, not a curated record.